This 28-nucleotide non-coding RNA is filed under the name Bombyx mori (domestic silkworm). Lineage: Eukaryota; Metazoa; Arthropoda; Insecta; Lepidoptera; Bombycidae. The record is from RNAcentral.
UAUCCGGUAAACCCGCCAGCAUGAGUGU